This 88-nucleotide transfer RNA is filed under the name Pseudaminobacter soli (ex Zhang et al. 2022). RNAcentral's name for it is "tRNA-Ser". It matches the Rfam family "tRNA". Rfam says of the family: Transfer RNA (tRNA) molecules are approximately 80 nucleotides in length. Their secondary structure includes four short double-helical elements and three loops (D, anti-codon, and T loops). Further hydrogen bonds mediate the characteristic L-shaped molecular structure. tRNAs have two regions of fundamental functional importance: the anti-codon, which is responsible for specific mRNA codon recognition, and the 3' end, to which the tRNAs corresponding amino acid is attached (by aminoacyl-tRNA synthetases). tRNAs cope with the degeneracy of the genetic code in two manners: having more than one tRNA (with a specific anti-codon) for a particular amino acid; and 'wobble' base-pairing, i.e. permitting non-standard base-pairing at the 3rd anti-codon position. Lineage: Bacteria; Pseudomonadati; Pseudomonadota; Alphaproteobacteria; Hyphomicrobiales; Phyllobacteriaceae. The record is from RNAcentral.
GGUAGGUUGGCCGAGAGGAAAUGCGCUCGGUUGCUAACCGAAGGCCAACCGCAAGGUUGCAUAGGUUCGAUUCCUAUACCUACCGCCA